Molecule: ribosomal RNA, 253 nt
Filed under: uncultured bacterium
Lineage: Bacteria
Description: partial 16S ribosomal RNA
Rfam family: Bacterial small subunit ribosomal RNA
Source: RNAcentral
CACGUAGGGGGCAAGCGUUGUCCGGAAUCAUUGGGCGUAAAGCGCGCGUAGGCGGCCCUGUAAGUCCGUUGUGAAAGUCAAAGGCUCAACCUUUGAAAGCCGAUGGAUACUGCAGGGCUAGAGUCCGGAAGAGGCGAGUGGAAUUCCUGGUGUAGCGGUGGAAUGCGCAGAUAUCAGGAGGAACACCAAUAGCGAAGGCAGCUCGCUGGGACGGUACUGACGCUAAGGCGCGAAAGCAUGGGGAGCGAACGGG